AUGAGAUUUCCGAUAUUGAGAGUGGCUUCACAUUACUCGGUGACCAAACAAAUUGACAUAUCAGUUGCUAGUUGUGUGCUGCACAAUUUCAUACGUUUGCAUGAUGGAGAUUUUUCAUGGCCUGAGAAUACUACUGUGGAGAUUGAUCAAGAACAAUUUGUUGAUGUGCCAAGUGGAGACCACAACUAUCACAAUGAUAUACAUGCUUUUAAUUACUCUAGAGAAGCUGGGAAUCAAAAACGAGAUUAUAUAGCACAGCAAAUGUGGGCACAAUAUGUAUCACGAAGAUCUCAGAAUAUGUAA
This 303-nucleotide ribosomal RNA is filed under the name Triticum aestivum (bread wheat). RNAcentral describes it as "partial small subunit ribosomal RNA". Lineage: Eukaryota; Viridiplantae; Streptophyta; Magnoliopsida; Poales; Poaceae. The record is from RNAcentral.